ACGGAAGGCAGCAGUAGGGAAUCUUCCACAAUGGGCGAAAGCCUGAUGGAGCAACGCCGCGUGUGUGAUGAAGGGUUUCGGCUCGUAAAACACUGUUGUAAGAGAAGAAUGACAUUGAGAGUAACUGUUCAAUGAGUGACGGUAUCUUACCAGAAAGGAACGGCUAAGUACGUGCCAGCAGCCGCGGUAAUACGUAUGUUCCAAGCGUUAUCCGGAUUUAUUGGGCGUAAAGCAAGCGCAGACGGUUAUUUAAGUCUGAAGUGAAAGCCCUCAGCUCAACUGAGGAAUUGCUUUGGAAACUGGAUGACUUGAGUGCAGUAGAGGUAAGUGGAACUCCAUGUGUAGCGGUGAAAUGCGUAGAUAUAUGGAAGAACACCAGUGGCGAAGGCGGCCUUCUGGACUGUAACUGACGUUGAGGCUCGAAAGUGUGGGUAGCAAACAGGAUUAGAUACCCUGGUA
RNAcentral lists this ribosomal RNA (459 nucleotides) under uncultured Weissella sp. RNAcentral describes it as "partial 16S ribosomal RNA". It matches the Rfam family "Bacterial small subunit ribosomal RNA", at positions 341 to 792 of the family's 1533-position model. Lineage: Bacteria; Bacillati; Bacillota; Bacilli; Lactobacillales; Lactobacillaceae. The record is from RNAcentral.